GACGAACGCUGGCGGCGUGCUUAACACAUGCAAGUCGAACGGAAAGGCCUUUUCGGAGGUACUCGAGUGGCGAACGGGUGAGUAACACGUGGGUGAUCUGCCCUGCACUCUGGGAUAAGCCUGGGAAACUGGGUCUAAUACCGGAUAGGACCGCACUUUAGUGUGUGUGGUGGAAAGUUUUUUCGGUGUAGGAUGAGCCCGCGGCCUAUCAGCUUGUUGGUGGGGUAAUGGCCUACCAAGGCGGCGACGGGUAGCCGGACUGAGAGGUUGGUCGGCCACAUUGGGACUGAGAUACGGCCCAGACUCCUACGGGAGGCAGCAGUGGGGAAUAUUGCACAAUGGGCGCAAGCCUGAUGCAGCGACGCCGCGUGGGGGAUGACGGCCUUCGGGUUGCAAACUCCGUUCGCCAGGGACGAAGCGUUUUGUGACGGUACCUGGAGAAGAAGCACCGGCUAACUACGUG
RNAcentral lists this ribosomal RNA (463 nucleotides) under uncultured bacterium. Its description in RNAcentral is "partial 16S ribosomal RNA". It matches the Rfam family "Bacterial small subunit ribosomal RNA", at positions 28 to 507 of the family's 1533-position model. The record is from RNAcentral.